CAAGACAUCAAAACACUACAACUCCUACUAUCUCUCUCUCUCUCUCCAAAAUCGUGCAAACCAAACACCCCCACUCCAUUUUCAUUUCAAAUUUCAAAUUCAAGAGUUCUUGCACAUAUGGAGAUCCAUGGAUGAAACAAGCCUCAAGGGUGUUUAGUAAAGCUAUUAGGAGCCUUUUUGGUGGAACUUGAAGCCAUAAAUCAUCAAGAUUUUCAAAUCUUCAUCUUUGUUUCUUUGCAAAAAUUGUCGAGAAACGAACCGCGAACAAGGAAUCGAAUAGAGAUUUGCACGGAACGCAAAUCUGAGAUUAGUGGACGGCUAUGAAAAAAUAUGUUCAAGUGGUUAUCAAGAACGCAAGCUUUUGUGAUGUCAUCCGUUUUUAGUGUUAUGUUUUAAACUUUGAAUAAUGUAGUUAAAGUUGUUGUUUCAACUUUCAAA
Molecule: long non-coding RNA, 438 nt
Organism: Helianthus annuus (common sunflower)
Lineage: Eukaryota; Viridiplantae; Streptophyta; Magnoliopsida; Asterales; Asteraceae
Exons: 3
Source: RefSeq, a predicted model, not a curated record